This 336-nucleotide long non-coding RNA is filed under the name Arachis ipaensis. RNAcentral describes it as "long non-coding RNA (AIPA_LNC000068)". The record is from RNAcentral. Lineage: Eukaryota; Viridiplantae; Streptophyta; Magnoliopsida; Fabales; Fabaceae.
UUUAAUCCGUUGAGGAUUGGUUUGAAUUGAGUCAAUUAUUUUGAUGAUGUGAGAGAUAGAAUACUCUUGAAAUUCAGCCUGGGUUGCUUUAACUGAUUUGGUUUUGAUAAAUGAUUUAUUGCUGAACCGAUUCUUUAAAGCUUUAUAAAUGAGUUAAAUCGGUUGAUAUUGAGUUGAUUUUUGAAAUGGUUUCCUUGAGGUAUGCCAUUGAGGCGACUGUUGGAUUUAGCUUGCUUUUGAAUUGAUUUCUGGUUUUGAGCUGUUGAAAAGGAUUGAGAAACGGUUUAGUUGGGACCCGAACCGGGUGGCAAAAGUCCAAGUUUUAAGGGAGGUGCU